Molecule: ribosomal RNA, 497 nt
Filed under: uncultured bacterium
Lineage: Bacteria
Description: partial 16S ribosomal RNA
Rfam family: Bacterial small subunit ribosomal RNA
Source: RNAcentral
GAUGAACGCUGGCGGCGUGCCUAAUACAUGCAAGUAGAACGCUGAAGCUUGGUGCUUGCACCGAGCGGAUGAGUUGCGAACGGGUGAGUAACGCGUAGGUAACCUGCCUCUUAGCGGGGGAUAACUAUUGGAAACGAUAGCUAAUACCGCAUAAAAGUCGAUAUCGCAUGAUAUUGAUUUGAAAGGUGCAAAUGCAUCACUAAGAGAUGGACCUGCGUUGUAUUAGCUAGUUGGUGAGGUAACGGCUCACCAAGGCGACGAUACAUAGCCGACCUGAGAGGGUGAUCGGCCACACUGGGACUGAGACACGGCCCAGACUCCUACGGGAGGCAGCAGUAGGGAAUCUUCGGCAAUGGGGGCAACCCUGACCGAGCAACGCCGCGUGAGUGAAGAAGGUUUUCGGAUCGUAAAGCUCUGUUGUAAGAGAAGAACGAGUGUGAGAGUGGUAAGUUCACACUGUGACGGUAACUUACCAGAAAGGGACGGCUAACUACGUG